GAGCGGGAAUGCCUGUAAACUCCUCUCCCUCAAGCUCUUCUGGCCACUCGGAGUUACUUUCCACCUCCUUCACUCCCACACGCAAAUCCUGCUCGAGCAGGAGGGAGCGUAGGGAGGGAUAAUGGAUGGCCUUUAUAUGUGGGAGCCCUGCAGGGGAGUUACCGAUGGAGACAGGCACGCAAGGGUGCGCAGAGGCAGCGCAGCCCUCGGUGCGGUGUGCGUGGAUGUGGGGCGAGGCCGGCCGCAGCCCGAGGGCUGUGCGUGCACCUCUCGAGGGCAAGAAACGUGCAGCAGGGGCUGCCCGGCCACGGAGGAGAGGUGCUCAUGAGCCCUCAGUGCCCACUGCCGGGAUGUAAGAUUCAUCAUUCCCGGCUGCAGAGGAGUUGGAGCGUGCACAGGAACUCACAGCGUUUCCUACGCAGGGCAGUGACACCGUCUCGCGCUGACUCGCAAGUGCACGACGGCAGCCACGGCGUCCUCCUUGGGUCAGGGGCCCCCCAGGUGCUGUUCUCCGUGAGCGCUUUCCUCCAGCGUCAGGGAUGCUUUCUUUGCCUUUAUUUGGGUAGUUAAUCCAGGCUCUUCUUUGAUUUUUGGCCCCUCUGCGCAGAGGCGAACCUGAUCAAGGACUGGAGGUGGUUUAAGAUGGAGUUUGUUUAUCCAGCUGGAGGCAAGGGUUAGUCUCAACUCCUCUGUAGCUCAAGCCACAGCACGCUGCUCUUGCAGCAAGGGUACAGGCAGGAUGACUUUGGUGUCGGUAGUCCUCUGGUGCUCCCUGAAAACGAGUUCUCGUGCAGCUGAAACAGCCGUGGAAGAAACCAAAAGCUGCUUAAAAUGGAGACUUCACACCCCUGGCGCAAUGGGUCAGUGCAGGAGCUGCGCGGACUCCUGCGGUGAGGGCUUUGGCACAGGGCUGCUGGCACGUGGAGGUGGCCAACCCAGGGCUCAGCCCCGCGCUGGCAGCAGGGAAGACUUGCCCUGUUCCCUUGCAGGUCCGUGAAACGCUCUUGCUUGGGAUCCCUUCCAUCUCUGUGCUGCGAGAUCCGUGUGGCAGCUCCUGGGAGAGGCUGCCUCAGCCACCAGCGCUGACCCAGGCCCUUCAAUGUCAUCGUCCCCUCGGUGUUUCACGUUCAUGUCAUCCUCGGGCCGCUACGUUGGCAGUGCCAGGGCGCAGCGACUGGUUCGUCCUCCCUGCCUCUUGCUGCUCCAACCCGAACGAGCAGGCAGCUUCAGCACCAAGUCUGUACUGAAAGCGUUUGGGGUAGCCUUAAUGUGACACACGGUCCCUGCUGAGGCUUGUUACUGAAAUACUCUGCUCUGACCCUGUGUUGCGAUGCUCCUGUUCCCAUUGCAGAACGACUUGCCUUGGAUCAGCGCCGCGAACAAUCUAAG
Cygnus atratus (black swan) is the source of this 1389-nucleotide long non-coding RNA. RefSeq lists it as uncharacterized. Lineage: Eukaryota; Metazoa; Chordata; Aves; Anseriformes; Anatidae. The record is from RefSeq and is a predicted model, not a curated record. The transcript has 3 exons.